CAGCCGCCGCGGUAAUACGAAGGGUGCAAGCGUUAAUCGGAAUUACUGGGCGUAAAGCGCGCGUAGGUGGUUUGGUAAGAUGGAUGUGAAAUACCCGGGCUCAACCUGGGAACUGCAUCCAUAACUGCCUGACUAGAGUACGGUAGAGGGUGGUGGAAUUUCCUGUGUAGAGGUGAAAUGCGUAGAUAUAGGAAGGAACACCAGUGGCGAAGGCGACCACCUGGACUGAUACUGACACUGAGGUGCGAAAGCGUGGGGAGCAAACAGGAUUAGAUACCCCGGUAGUCCCUGUCUCUUAUAC
RNAcentral lists this ribosomal RNA (301 nucleotides) under uncultured bacterium. Its description in RNAcentral is "partial 16S ribosomal RNA". It matches the Rfam family "Bacterial small subunit ribosomal RNA", at positions 509 to 807 of the family's 1533-position model. The record is from RNAcentral.